Molecule: long non-coding RNA, 1511 nt
Organism: Limulus polyphemus (Atlantic horseshoe crab)
Lineage: Eukaryota; Metazoa; Arthropoda; Merostomata; Xiphosura; Limulidae
Exons: 3
Source: RefSeq, a predicted model, not a curated record
UUUUGUUAGGUACAACGAGCUGUCGUCUCGAAUCACUCGUGCAGAUUCACUUUGCUAGACACACCCGAUUGGACAUCCGUCACAUGAAAUGUCUUCAUGGUCCAGCUUCACUUCCAUAUUUGAAUUUUUGGACAACAAGUACCAUCAGGUGGCGCUAGAAUCGCCUACAGAACCGAAGAAACUGAGGGAGGAAUUUUAAGAAAAACGAUGAUGAGAUGCCUCUGUGGAUAGUCUCUUCGUAUUUCAUCGCUCCACAUUGUUGCCGUUUCUUUGUGGGUUACCAGAAUAUUUCCUGAUCUGAAUAAUCAUUGUGUGACUUCAAGAACGAGUUUAAAUCGUUGUAAACAUUCUUUUUUUUUUUCUCAUGGUUUCAGUUUUGGUUUCUAGGUGAAAACUUGCAGAUGCAUGUGUGUAUUUUAACAAACGUUUUACAUAACUUGAAUGUUGACCACAACUGGCGCACCUGCAAAGUUUGACCUUUGGUAAAUCUCUCUAUUAUAUGUGGUCCUGAUGGUUUGAUUUAUAUAAUAAUAGUAAUAAUCGAAGCAUGUUAAUUAGUUACAUUUAUUUUUAUUAUUUUCCGCAAGGGGGGAACUGUAACUUUUAUAAUGACUUUGUACAGUAUUCAUGUUUGAUUGAAUAAGUGUUUCAUUACACGAUCAUUAGGUACUUGCCACAGCGUGUGGGAGCAACUUUCAGAAAGGGGAGCUCUGGUUUUACAGAAAUUAUGCGCAGAGUUGUUUGAUUGGUUACAGGAUAUAUAUAUUUACAUGUGUAAAUAUAAUUCCUAUAGCAUUUAUAUUUGGGUGUAAGUUUGCGUUAGCCUUGCUUGUUUCAUUAUAUUAUUAGUAAUCGCACCUGUUUAAACUUCCUAAGAGAUGGCGCCACAAGUCAGUUGAAGAUCUUUUUAGAAGUACAUGUUGGAUUGUAACUAGUUUGGUACAUUUAUUGCUGUUACUCAUUUAACUUUUCAUUGUGAAUGUAUAUGUGUAAGUUUGCGAAUCCUGGUUAAAGUAUGUCAAGUUAAAACAUAGCCUAUAUACAUCGGCUUCAAAUGAUAUACAAACACUUUCGGUGUGAACAAUUAUUUAAAAUCGAAUCAGUGUUGUAUAAUGACGUUAUUGGUUCUGGUUUUCUAACGGUUUUAAAAAGAUACUUGCUUUUAGGUGAGUGCCUUAUAAAGUGAUAAAAUACACACGUACUUCCGAAUAAUUUAAAAGACUUUUUAAUAAGUUAUUUUCCACAUCAGUUAGAACCUUUGGUGACAAUGAGAAUUGGAAAUAUUAAUCAAAGAAGAUGCUUAAUGAUUAGUUCGUCUACUUUUUCCUUUUUUUGGGUGGGGGGUAUUGUUUUUUCAUGUAACACGUGGAUGAUUAGACACACAACUUGGAGACACUGACAGAGUUUGUUAUUCCUGUCAAAUUUGGACCAUUAUAGAUGAUUAGACACACAACUUGGAGACACUGACAGAGUUUGUUAUUCCUGUCACAUUUGGACCGUUAUAGAUGAUU